This 505-nucleotide ribosomal RNA is filed under the name uncultured bacterium. RNAcentral describes it as "partial 16S ribosomal RNA". It matches the Rfam family "Bacterial small subunit ribosomal RNA", at positions 28 to 507 of the family's 1533-position model. The record is from RNAcentral.
GACGAACGCUGGCGGCGUGCCUAAUACAUGCAAGUAGAACGCACAGUUUAUACCGUAGCUUGCUACACCAUAAACUGUGAGUUGCGAACGGGUGAGUAACGCGUAGGUAACCUGCCUGGUAGCGGGGGAUAACUAUUGGAAACGAUAGCUAAUACCGCAUAAUAUUAAUUAUUGCAUGAUAAUUGAUUGAAAGAUGCAAUUGCAUCACUACCAGAUGGACCUGCGUUGUAUUAGCUAGUAGGGGAGGUAACGGCUCACCUAGGCGACGAUACAUAGCCGACCUGGGAGGGUGGUCGGCCACACUGGGACUGGGACACGGCCCCGACUCCUACGGGGGGCAGCCGUAGGGAAUCUUCGGCCAUGGACGAAAGUCUGACCGAGCAACGCCGCGUGAGUGAAGAAGGUUUUCGGAUCGUAAAGCUCUGUUGUGAGAGAAGAACGGGUGUGAGAGUGGAAAGUUCACACUGUGACGGUAUCUUACCAGAAAGGGACGGCUAACUACGUG